CCCUCCUUAGCUCAAAUGGAUAGAGCUGCUGUGUUCUAAGCAGUAGGUUGCACGUUCGAGUCGUGCAGGAGGGGCCA
RNAcentral lists this transfer RNA (77 nucleotides) under Comamonas sp. RNAcentral describes it as "tRNA-Arg". The record is from RNAcentral. Lineage: Bacteria; Pseudomonadati; Pseudomonadota; Betaproteobacteria; Burkholderiales; Comamonadaceae.